This 253-nucleotide ribosomal RNA is filed under the name uncultured bacterium. RNAcentral describes it as "partial 16S ribosomal RNA". It matches the Rfam family "Bacterial small subunit ribosomal RNA", at positions 524 to 776 of the family's 1533-position model. The record is from RNAcentral.
CACGUAGGGCGCAAGCGUUGUCCGGAAUCAUUGGGCGUAAAGAGCUCGUAGGCGGUUUGUCACGUCUGCUGUGAAAACUCGGGGCUUAACCCCGAGCUUGCAGUGGAUACGGGCAGACUAGAGGUAGGUAGGGGAGAAUGGAAUUCCCGGUGUAGCGGUGAAAUGCGCAGAUAUCGGGAGGAACACCGGUGGCGAAGGCGGUUCUCUGGGCCGGAACUGACGCUGAGGAGCGAAAGCGUGGGGAGCGAACAGG